UGAAAGGAGAAGGGUAGCAGAUAGGCUUUAAAGUGCAGAGACUGAAGGAAUGUAGGACCUCACCCCCAAAUCUGGGGAUGGGUACAAUUCCUCUUUCGGUGUCACUUCAUAGAAUCAUAGAGCUGGAAGGGACCCCCAAGGGUCAUCUAGUCCAACCCGCCACGAUGCUAUCCUUAAUGCUCUUAACAUCUCCCCCCCACCUUUACAUGGCUUAAAGUCACUUGUAAUCAGAUUUUGGUGUGCUUUUUUUGGUCAAAACAACUCACCGAAGCUUCCUAUAGUGGUCCUUUUGCAUUGCAAAGUCACAUUUGUUAGUGCCGCCCUUGUCAUAGUGUGGUUGGCCGGCAGCGUAAAGCUGCCUGUGAAGAUCUCUGAGCUCUCCUUCCUCAGAUUGGCAAAGGUGCAGGCUAUGUGUCACAAUUUAUCGCCAGUCAGUUGUAAAUGGAAUCAUUCAGAAUUCUCUUUGUGUUCCUCUCCCUGCCUUCUUUAACCAAUUUAAUCUGGAAAGUAUGUACUAUCAGGCUGUGCUAGUCACUGUCUCCCUUGCCGAGAUACCUUAUGUUGCUGUUGCCCUUUAUUAAUUAUUUCUGUGCUUAGCCCACCCCAUCCUGAGGGUUCAGGAUGGGUGGCAGUACUUUAUUCUAUAAUUUAUACUUCUAAUGAGACUUUUAGAAUGGUGAAAAUUAGAGGGGAUGGAAAUAUCUACUUAAACCUGACAAUUAAAAGAAUCCACCGAUACCAAGGCUUUUAAUACCAGGCGUCAAGCUCUUGAACAACUCCCAGUUUUAAGACAGAGGGGUUAUGUUUUGCUUUACAGCAUAUUUCAUCUCGGUUUUAAGGAGUUAAGAAGGCUAAGCUUUCCUGUUAUCAGUCAGUGUCGGUGCACGGCAGGUAUUUCAGGUGUCUCUCUGGGCAACUGGAGGGGGUCUGCACUCCUUGCAGCAGGUAACUGGUUUUGUUCCCAAUUAAGGAUAAGCUAAGGAACUACUGAAAAUGGGUAGCAUACAUGGAAGCUGCUAACCUACCGUAUGUCAAGAAUUUCUACAAAAAGACAAUGAAAUUCUUGAUUUUGAAUUUAGAAAACUUUGCAAACUGAUAGCCCCAUUCUUUAUGCAAGCUACGUAAAUACACAGAGAAAGGGUUUUUUAUAUUAAAGCCUUGGGAGAAAAAGAAAAGGGGGGGAUGAUCAGUAGCUAUUCAGACUGCCCUUUAAAGUUCAGCAUCAAAAGGCAGGGGGAAAGGAUGGCUUGAGAGCAUCAUAACUAAGUCAUUAACCCCUCACGUCUCAGGAAAAGCUGUAAACCUUUACACAGGCUAGAAAAAAGAACCUAAAUAAAUCUGCUUCAUGCUUUCCUUUCUCUUGACAGAGGGAACACAUGCCAUGCCCUUGAUUCUGAUCACCACUGCAAGAGAUGGUGUCUGAGACAUACCAGCUUCCCUUACACAUUUCAGACACCCAGUUUUCCCGAGUUUGCACAAAUUUCCGCAGCCAAGCAUGAAGACGGUGAAAGUAACACAUGAAUCGCCUCACAUACAAGAAUCUUGAGUUCUAUAACAGUUUUUUGGGGGCAAACCUUUGGUCUGAGGUGAACUCAAUAUUGCCCUUUAACCUGCAGGUUGGUCUUUAAUUGGUUCUUAUUGUGAUGAAAUAUAUUUUAAAGCUAGAUGUUUUGUAUUUGUGGGGUUUUUUGUUUUGUUUUGUUUUGCUUCAGCCUGUGGUUUUUUAUUUUAAUAGUUAACCACACCAAUACAUUUUUGAGUAAAUAGCUGAUGAUCUGCCAGCCAUUUAGAGGAGGAAUUGAGUUCUGAGAUGUAGAGCGCAUGCAUGCACAGGGUCCCACAACGAACCCGUGCCACCGCCUAAAUAAAUCUUGGGCAGCAAGACUAGGAGAUGAGACACAGCAGAACCACAGCUGUUUAACAGUAGACAGUACUGGGGGAGAGGAGAUGGUAGUUUCAGAUAUGUUCACCAUAAUUUCUAACCUUUAUACUUGCAAUGCAGAUAUCUUCACAGUAAAAUAAAAAGUUGGCUUUCAACACGCUUUGUUUGCCUGCUGUCCAAAGGGGCGUUUCCACAUACAUUUUCAUCACCUGAUGACCAUAAUAAAAUGGGUGGUUUGUAUGCAUAAUACAGCCAUCACAGAUCUAAUGGCACCCAAAACUAUAGUUGUUUUAAAUAGUUUUUAUGCUGUGACGCGCCCUGGGACCUUAGGGUGAAGGGUGGUUAAUCAUAAUAAUAUAGAUUCAGCCUUGGUGCUAAAUUUCCUUAUGUGCAAAUUGGGUGUUUUGACAUAAGCUUUUAGAUCCCACUUCAUUAGAUGCAUGAAAUGUUAUCCUCAGUUGGCAGUUAUCAGCCAUCUGAGAACAACACUUCACGAGUCUGUGGAAGAGAACUCUAGGCUAGAAUACCUUAUGCACAAUAUUGGUGUGUUAGUUUUUUAAGGAGUCACAAGAUGCUUCAUUGCAGACAUCUUUGCCUGAAUCAUCUCAGUAUACAGUAGAUUCCAAGAGCAAUGGAGGCACAAAAAGCCUGUUUCUUCAUGUGGUUGAGCUGGUUCUGGAAAAAAAAUGUUCUAAAGACCAGUUUAUGCAUUCUACAACCUCAGGCCUUGUUGCCUAGUUCUUUUAAAGUUGUCUCAAAAGUGCAUUCAACUUUGCCUUGCCUAUUUUUCAGCAUAAGCCCAAUAACUUCCAGUACAUUUGCCUGAAGGUGUAUUAUCCAGAAAAGCCCUUUAAAGAAGACAUUGGAACAGGCAAUGCAGAAAGUACCUCCUGAAUUACAAUUAAAUUCUGAAGUUAUUUAAUUUAAGGGGGAGGAGAGAUUGUGUCAUCAUAAGUUCUCACUACAUUCUCUGAAAACCUCGAGUAGGCUGUUGAUUUCUUAUUUUUUAUUAAGUAAAGCUGCUAUCCUUCCCUAACAUUGGAUAGAAUAAACGCUAUAAUCUGGCUCUGAAAGCUGUGUUGGAUGGGAGACCACCUGGGAACCAUCUGUAAGUUGCUUUGAGGUCUUUAGAGGAAGCACAUGGUAUAAGCAAUAAAUAAAUGAAGACUGUUUACGUUCAUA
Long non-coding RNA from Podarcis muralis (Common wall lizard), 3064 nucleotides. RefSeq lists it as uncharacterized. NCBI's taxonomy places the organism in Eukaryota, Metazoa, Chordata, Lepidosauria, Squamata, Lacertidae. The record is from RefSeq and is a predicted model, not a curated record.